UGCAAGUCGAGCGGCAGCGCGGGGGCAACCCUGGCGGCGAGCGGCGAACGGGUGAGUAACACAUCGGAACGUACCCUAUCGUGGGGGAUAGCUCGGCGAAAGCCGGAUUAAUACCGCAUACGACCUGAGGGUGAAAGCGGGGGAUCGCAAGACCUCGCGCGAUUGGAGCGGCCGAUGGCGGAUUAGCUAGUUGGUGAGGUAAAGGCUCACCAAGGCGACGAUCCGUAGCUGGUCUGAGAGGACGACCAGCCACACUGGAACUGAGACACGGUCCAGACUCCUACGGGAGGCAGCAGUGGGGAAUUUUGGACAAUGGGCGCAAGCCUGAUCCAGCCAUUCCGCGUGAGUGAAGAAGGCCUUCGGGUUGUAAAGCUCUUUCGGCAGGAACGAAACGGUGCAGGCUAAUACCCUGUAUCAAUGACGGUACCUGAAGAAGAAGCACCGGCUAACUACGUGCCAGCAGCCGCGGUAAUACGUAGGGUGCGAGCGUUAAUCGGAAUUACUGGGCGUAAAGCGUGCGCAGGCGGCUUUGUAAGACAGGUGUGAAAUCCCCGGGCUUAACCUGGGAACUGCGCUUGUGACUGCAAGGCUUGAGUGCGGCAGAGGGGGGUGGAAUUCCACGUGUAGCAGUGAAAUGCGUAGAGAUGUGGAGGAACACCGAUGGCGAAGGCAGCCCCCUGGGUCGACACUGACGCUCAUGCACGAAAGCGUGGGUAGCAAACAGGAUUAGAUACCCUGGUAG
This 742-nucleotide ribosomal RNA is filed under the name uncultured bacterium. Its description in RNAcentral is "bacterial SSU rRNA". It matches the Rfam family "Bacterial small subunit ribosomal RNA", at positions 56 to 793 of the family's 1533-position model. The record is from RNAcentral.